CUUUUCUUUGGGAAGAAGCAAGUGACGGUACCAAAGGAAUAAGCCUCGGCUAACUCCGUGCCAGCAGCCGCGGUAAUACGGAGGAGGCAAGCGUUAUCCGGAAUCAUUGGGCGUAAAGCGUCCGCAGGUGGCACUUCAAGUCUGCUGUCAAAGGCUGGGGCUUAACCCUAGAAAGGCAGUGGAAACUGAAGAGCUAGAGUACCAUAGGGGUAGAGGGAAUUCCCGGUGUAGCGGUGAAAUGCGUAGAGAUCGGGAAGAACAUCGGUGGCGAAAGCGCUCUACUGGGUCGUAACUGACACUGAGGGACGAAAGCUAGGGGAGCGAAUGGGAUUAGAUACCCCAGUAG
This 346-nucleotide ribosomal RNA is filed under the name uncultured cyanobacterium. RNAcentral describes it as "bacterial SSU rRNA". It matches the Rfam family "Bacterial small subunit ribosomal RNA", at positions 433 to 793 of the family's 1533-position model. Lineage: Bacteria; Bacillati; Cyanobacteriota. The record is from RNAcentral.